This 338-nucleotide ribosomal RNA is filed under the name Hemidiaptomus maroccanus. RNAcentral describes it as "partial 16S ribosomal RNA". The stretch from base 72 to 338 matches the Rfam family "Bacterial large subunit ribosomal RNA", at positions 2079 to 2620 of the family's 2925-position model. Lineage: Eukaryota; Metazoa; Arthropoda; Copepoda; Calanoida; Diaptomidae. The record is from RNAcentral.
ACACUAGAAAGACAAUUUUAUAUUAUUAAUUAAAACUUAAUCCUAAUGAAAAGUUUAGGAUUAAAUUUUUAGACGAUAAGACCCUAUGAAGCUUUAUUAACUAUAAUUUUUUUGGGGAAAACCAUAAUUUAUUUAUUACUUUCUAGGGGUAUGCUGAUCUUUAAAGAAAUAUAAGAAAAAGCUACUCUAGGGAUAACAGCAUAAUUUUUAUUAAAGCCCACAUUAAAAUAAAAGAUUGUGACCUCGAUGUUGAAUUAAGAAAAUUAAUUUGUGCAGCCGCUAAUUAAUCGUAGUCUGUUCGACUAAUAUUAUCUUACAUGAUCUGAGUUCAAACCGGA